AUGAACGCUGGCGGCGUGCCUAAUACAUGCAAGUCGAGCGAACAGAUGAGGAGCUUGCUCCUCUGACGUUAGCGGCGGACGGGUGAGUAACACGUGGAUAACCUACCUAUAAGACUGGGAUAACUUCGGGAAACCGGAGCUAAUACCGGAUAAUAUAUUGAACCGCAUGGUUCAAUAGUGAAAGACGGUUUUGCUGUCACUUAUAGAUGGAUCCGCGCCGCAUUAGCUAGUUGGUAAGGUAACGGCUUACCAAGGCAACGAUGCGUAGCCGACCUGAGAGGGUGAUCGGCCACACUGGAACUGAGACACGGUCCAGACUCCUACGGGAGGCAGCAGUAGGGAAUCUUCCGCAAUGGGCGAAAGCCUGACGGAGCAGCGCCGCGUGAGUGAUGAAGGUCUUCGGAUCGUAAAACUCUGUUAUUAGGGAAGAACAAAUGUGUAAGUAACUAUGCACGUCUUGACGGUACCUAAUCAGAAAGCCACGGCUAACUACGUG
Molecule: ribosomal RNA, 496 nt
Filed under: uncultured bacterium
Lineage: Bacteria
Description: partial 16S ribosomal RNA
Rfam family: Bacterial small subunit ribosomal RNA
Source: RNAcentral